CAGCCAACAUUGCCAUAAACUUCACAUUUCCUGGUUCUGCAAAUUUAUGUUAUCAAACGCUUUAUCGCCUUCAUGACGUUUUCGACACGGUUCCACUCCUCACUUUCCAACUGGCAUCGCUGCAAAACUUCGCCAACUGAGUCAUAAGAUCAGUUGAAUUUGUGCGUUGAGUGAGUUUCAACAAAGUUUUUCAGUGCCUUUUCCCGGUAGAAAUUUUCAACAAUGGCCGACGAAGUUGCUGAAAAUGGUCACGCAGAAAAUGGAGAUGUACCAGAAAUCGAGCUUAUCAUUAGGGCCUCGACAAUAGACGGUAGACGUAAAGGAGCCUGCCUAUUCUGUCAGGAAUACUUCAUGGAGUUGUACUUAUUGGCCGAACUGAAAACUAUUAGUCUGAAGGUGACGACAGUAGACAUGCAGAAACCUCCUCCUGAUUUCCGUACGAAUUUUGAAGCGACGCCCCCACCGAUCCUGAUAGACAGAGGGAUGGCCAUCUUGGAAAACGAGAAAAUCGAAAGACAUAUCAUGAAGAACGUGCCAGGAGGUCAUAAUUUAUUUGUACAGGACAAAGAAGUAGCAACAUUGAUUGAAAAUCUCUACACAAAGUUCAAAACGUACGUUAGAAAGUUUGAAUCGACUGACACCACAGAAAAUAGGCAACCUCUAUAUUCGCAUUUGGAGAGGAUCAACGACUUCAUGGCAAAGAGAGGCACGAGAUUUUUAACUGGUGACACUAUGUCCUGUUUUGACUGUGAAUUGAUGCCUAGACUGCAACACAUCCGCAUAGGAGCCAAAGCCUUCCGCAAAUUCGAGAUCCCCUCAACAUUCAAAGCUUUGUGGAACUACAUGGCGAACAUGUACGAACUCGAAGCCUUCAUCCAGAGCUGCCCGGCCGAUCAAGACAUCAUCAGUCAUAUCAAAAACCAAUUGGGCCUUAAGACAACCGCGCGGAUAGAACUGGAAACGCCUGUAUACACGACAGCCAUUCCGGUGCUAUCUGAAUCGUAAAUAAUAACUUAAAAUAAAGAAUUAUAGUCGGUUUCGUGAUAUUUUGAUAAUAUAAUAUGGGACGUCAUCCAGAAUACGUUCCGGUGAAGAUAGCCGCAAAUGAUGAAUGGCAUAAUAAAAUAUUGGUGUUUGGCAGUGUUGCCAAACACAAUUAUUUCGUUCUGUGGCCAUCAUUUGCAGCUAUCUUCACCGGAACGUAUUCUGGAAGAUGUCUCUACAUGUAUAGGCUUGCUUAAAUUGGACAAACUUGAUGUAUCAAAUAUAAAUCAUGUUUUUAAAUGACAUAUAUGUCUGAUAGAUAGUGCCUUGUAUUGCUUAUUCAAACUUAAUCCUUUUGGGUCACUAAAGGACUGAUUAUACACAGAAACAAAUAAAUUAGUACAUGUAAACUAACUACAUGACGAAACUAUUUAUUCAUAAUAUUUUUCCGAUAUUCUAUGUGUUGCUUGAUUAGAGUUAUAAUACAGUAAUCAAAUUUGAUGAUUUUGAUGUGCCAUCCAUACUUAGUAUUACUGGAGUUUUCAUUUUUUGACACAUGUCAAACGUCACGACUGUCAAACAUCAAUUUUUGACGCAUGUCAAACGUCACGACUGUCAAACAUCAAUUUUUGACAGCCAUUUUCAAAGAGUUUUCAAGGUCAACUUAAAAAUGUUGGAAAUUACUACUUUUGUACGUGAUCACUACUAUUUCUGCUGCUAUUAUACUAUCCUGUGCUUACAUGGCUUGAUUCUAAAUGUAACUGAACAAUAUUCGAACAAUUUUAUAUCUUAUAGCUGAAUUCUUUCGAGCCGCUGUUUCAAAUAUUACAAAACCGACAAACCGUUUAUUUUUAUAUGCAUUUUCGACUUCGACCUAGUCAGGGGAAGUAAUCAGUAAGUUUCUUCCAAUAAGAGUCAGCUACCACCAUAGCAGUUUUGUCAAAUUACAGAAAAAAGUUUAUAAGACCGCUUUUUUAUCAUUAUUAAUAAAUAUUAACAGAUUAUCGCACUUACUGUAGCAAGACAACAAGUGGAAACAACGGAAGAAAGAAUAUCUUUGGUUAGAAAGGCACUUGAUGAAUUCUAUACGUUCUACAGUAAUGAAAAAUAAUUAUCAUGGCGCAUAUUAUUGCAAGUGAAAAUGUUGUUUCUACGAUUUCCAGUAUUAGUUUUAUUAUCUUCAGUUAAGUUUUAAUUGUAGUUCAUUUUUUAAUAGAUGAAAAACGGUUCUGUAUGAAUAGGGCUUUUCAACGCUUCUCAUUUAUUUCGGGCACUUGUCAUAUGUCGUAUAUUAAUAUUAUACACAGAUUAUACAACAUACGACAAGUUAAGAUAUCUAUGUCAUACGUUUUUGGUUUGUAUCAUUGGUAUAUACGAAUAACGUAUGUUCCAUGGGUGUUCGGGAACGAUUAACUUAAAUUAAAAUAAGUGUAAAAACAACAACUUGUCAAUAAUAUAUUUAUUUGUGUCGGUAAAAUAGCGUGAAUAUUUCUCGAAAGAGAGUUUGUUAUUCUUUUGCGAGUAUGGUGGUGUGUCCGCGCCGGAUGGUUGCUGUGGCUAUACUGAAAGAAACCACAAACGCUAAUAUGUUUGUGUUUCUACCAUCUGGCCAGAAAGGUGAUAAAUUAUUUAGAUCUGGCGUUUAAAAGUUGAAACAUUUCUGCAGUUUUAAGAAACGUCUUCGAAUGCAUUUCCAAAGUGAGUUAUUGACAUAAGGUCUGAUAAGGUAAUUAAUUUAUGGGGAAUUCAGUUUGUUAAACUGAACACACCAAAAACAUAUUAUGGUUAGGGACACAUUUCGUUUUGUAAAACUUCUUAGCAUCUGGUUUGUAUAUUAAAUGUGAAUUUUAAAUGACCGUUUUAAGAAAAGUUAUUAAAAAAUAAAAUUAGCUAAAAGAGUAAUUAAAGCGUGUCUCCACAAUUGCAACGAAUGAACUCCAUUCUUGCAUUUUUUGAGAAAAGUAGAGCGAACCAUAUAACGACCAUAUGCGCAUGGCAAUAUGUCUUUUAUAGGAAUAAAAUCGACAAUUUUCAUAUUGUCUAAUUGAAAUCAGUUAUUGAUCUUGUUGCUAGUGAGACAAUUGUUAAGGUGGUUGCUGACUCUUGCUGAUUAUUAUAAAGCAUUUUUGACAACUUACAUAAAAAUAUGUAAAAAGCAUUUUUACAAUGUGAUGAGAAAAUAUUUAUAUACCAAUUGUUUCUUUGUAAAUAAAAGUUCUUAAUUUUUGAAUUUAAUUGAGUUUUUAAAUGUUAGGUUUGAGGAAAUUGAUAUAAAAAAUUUCUAAUACCCGCUUUCUUACAAUUUACAAAUGUGAAAUAUUUUGUUUAAUACGUUCUUUUUUUCUAUAUAGUUACAAUGAUGUACUGGAGUUAUUAUUUUUUAGAUAUUUAGGCGAACUUUGUAUUUUUACUAGGUCCCGUUGGAAGCUGGAUGCUUUCGACUGGAUUCAUUAAUAAUAAAGGUGUAAAAUAUA
RNAcentral lists this unclassified non-coding RNA (3458 nucleotides) under Diabrotica virgifera virgifera (western corn rootworm). Its description in RNAcentral is "chloride intracellular channel exc-4". The record is from RNAcentral. Lineage: Eukaryota; Metazoa; Arthropoda; Insecta; Coleoptera; Chrysomelidae.